RNAcentral lists this ribosomal RNA (1626 nucleotides) under Triticum aestivum (bread wheat). Its description in RNAcentral is "partial small subunit ribosomal RNA". Lineage: Eukaryota; Viridiplantae; Streptophyta; Magnoliopsida; Poales; Poaceae. The record is from RNAcentral.
CAGCAAAGGAGAAGCAUUGUCUUCGGGUGACCUUGUUUUGUCGGGUGUAGGUAGGAUAGGGUGGAGGUGCGUCUAGAGUAGGAGAGGGUGUUGGUCGCAAUAAAGGGGAAGUAGAAGAAGAGGAGACAUACCGAGGUGAGUCCUUUGUUUAGUGGUAGAAGUAGAGGCGUAGCCGGCAACGUGUUGAUGCCCUUCUAGUAGUGGAAGUCUUCACGGGCCCCACGACUACCGUAGCAUGGCGGCGGCCUGUUCGGAAGCAACCAGCAGCGGCCGUCUCGGCGUGCGCCGACGGCUAGGCCAGGUGUACUAGUGGCGGGAAUUUAACCAAGAACGACGUCUACUUAGCUCGGGGCGUUCGAUGCGACCUGGUUCGGGGCGCGGGGCUACAGGUGGUUUCGAGGGCUACUCAGUGUACGCGGUGGUAGCCGCAGGAGGAGGUUGUAGUGGACGUGGUUUCCUUCGGAAAAAGACUUCUUGUAGGGAGGACGAGGAAGGAACCGGUACCAGAGUACCAACAGCCGCCUCUCUGUCUGCGACGGCCACGCCACCCAAGGACUGAAGGUCCACAGUGUUCGAGUGAUUUCAAGUGUUUUAAACCCAACAGACUAAGUGUUCCACUGUUUAUUUUCUCAUGAGAGCGGUAGGUUACUUGCGAGACGUACUACACAGAUCGUCAUCAUUGUCGGCCAACUUCGUAGCCGAACCAGUCCUCUUCCUCGUGAUAAUACCGUUACCCUAAGUGUGUAGAUGUUACAUCAGUCGAUGCCGUCUUUUCUAUGAUCACAUUGCUGAUAAAUCCAUUGUGGUCUCUAGGGUUUUGUUAAUUCCGGACGUUUGUAAGAUAGCUACGAGAUUAAAAGGGACCACGUAACACAAACGUGUCUUGUAUUUUAAAAUAAGUGGUACAAUGGUCUGGUAAGCACUUCUGUUACGAUAGUAGGACAACUACGUUGAAGACAAGAAAGUAAGGGAAAAACCCAAGUGUAAACGUGUAUAGAAUGAUAGCACGUAACGACUUCUACAGGUAACUUAAAUGAAACAUUUGCACGUCUUCACAAGAAACUACUUACUACGACAUACCUUUAUCAAUGUGUAUGAUUCUUUAAACUGAAAAAUCUCUUUUUAUAGAAGGGAAUGAUUCAAUGAUACGUUAUAAAAUUAAUACAAGAGAGAAAGAGUGAGACCGAGUUCACAGCUGAUGUUUAAGAGGACGACUUCUUAACAACCCUUCACGUGAAGUGAUGCGUAAACUACACCAUACAAAUCUUCCUAUUUGGAAUGCUAAGAUAGUACUGAUUAUUGUAAACAAAUGGGGAACAACAACCUACCUAGUUUCAUUACAUGUACCUUCAAGACUACCUCUCAAACGUGUUAGUUCUGAGCUCAAUAUCGAUCCACCACUACAAAAUCAACUUCGAACUUUCAAGCCAGACGCCCAUUUACUGGUGUAUCAGGAGAUUAAACUAACAAGCAGAUAAGAAGUUUGAAACUUACUAUUUACCAUGUUCCUAGCUAGAACGGAUUCACGUAUACAUGGUGAUAUCGGUAUAGUAAGACUUCAUACCGACAGUUGUCUCUUAGUAAAUAAGUAAUAACACUACCGGGAAAAUCGUCUCAACAAAAACG